RNAcentral lists this ribosomal RNA (253 nucleotides) under uncultured bacterium. RNAcentral describes it as "partial 16S ribosomal RNA". It matches the Rfam family "Bacterial small subunit ribosomal RNA", at positions 524 to 776 of the family's 1533-position model. The record is from RNAcentral.
UACGAAGGGGGCUAGCGUUGCUCGGAAUGACUGGGCGUAAAGGGCGCGUAGGCGGCGAUCAUAGUCAGAUGUGAAAUUCCUGGGCUUAACCUGGGGGCUGCAUUUGAUACGUGGUUGCUUGAGUGGGGAAGAGGGUCGUGGAAUUCCCAGUGUAGAGGUGAAAUUCGUAGAUAUGACAUAGAACACCAAUUGCGAAGGCAGCUCACUACUCAAUCAUUGACUCUGAGGCACGAAAGCGUGGGGAUCAAACAGG